Molecule: small RNA, 27 nt
Filed under: Bombyx mori (domestic silkworm)
Lineage: Eukaryota; Metazoa; Arthropoda; Insecta; Lepidoptera; Bombycidae
Description: piRNA piR-bmo-2093814
Source: RNAcentral
UCUUGAGACAACUCCGAUGGCAUAAGC